This 484-nucleotide ribosomal RNA is filed under the name uncultured bacterium. Its description in RNAcentral is "partial 16S ribosomal RNA". It matches the Rfam family "Bacterial small subunit ribosomal RNA", at positions 30 to 507 of the family's 1533-position model. The record is from RNAcentral.
AUUGAACGCUGGCGGCAGGCCUAACACAUGCAAGUCGAGCGGAUGAAGGGAGCUUGCUCCUGGAUUCAGCGGCGGACGGGUGAGUAAUGCCUAGGAAUCUGCCUGGUAGUGGGGGAUAACGUCCGGAAACGGGCGCUAAUACCGCAUACGUCCUGAGGGAGAAAGUGGGGGAUCUUCGGACCUCACGCUAUCAGAUGAGCCUAGGUCGGAUUAGCUAGCUGGUGGGGUAAAGGCCUACCAAGGCGACGAUCCGUAACUGGUCUGAGAGGAUGAUCAGUCACACUGGAACUGAGACACGGUCCAGACUCCUACGGGAGGCAGCAGUGGGGAAUAUUGGGCAAUGGGCGAAAGCCUGAUCCAGCCAUGCCGCGUGUGUGAAGAAGGUCUUCGGAUUGUAAAGCACUUUAAGUUGGGAGGAAGGGCAGUAAGUUAAUACCUUGCUGUUUUGACGUUACCAACAGAAUAAGCACCGGCUAACUUCGUG